UACGUAAGGUGCGAGCGUUGUCCGGAAUUACUGGGAGUAAAGAGCUCGUAGGUGGUUUGUCGCGUUGUCCGUGAAAACUCACAGCUUAACUGUGGGCGUGCGGGCGAUACGGGCAGACUGGAGUACUGCAGGGGAGACUGGAAUUCCUGGUGUAGCGGUGGAAUGCGCAGAUAUCAGGAGGAACACCGGUGGCGAAGGCGGGUCUCUGGGCAGUAACUGACGCUGAGGAGCGAAAGCGUGGGGAGCGAACAGG
Molecule: ribosomal RNA, 253 nt
Filed under: uncultured bacterium
Lineage: Bacteria
Description: partial 16S ribosomal RNA
Rfam family: Bacterial small subunit ribosomal RNA
Source: RNAcentral